RNAcentral lists this ribosomal RNA (465 nucleotides) under Vreelandella stevensii. Its description in RNAcentral is "partial 16S ribosomal RNA". It matches the Rfam family "Bacterial small subunit ribosomal RNA", at positions 338 to 795 of the family's 1533-position model. The record is from RNAcentral. Lineage: Bacteria; Pseudomonadati; Pseudomonadota; Gammaproteobacteria; Oceanospirillales; Halomonadaceae.
CCUACGGGGGUCAGCAGUGGGGAAUAUUGGACAAUGGGCGAAAGCCUGAUCCAGCCAUGCCGCGUGUGUGAAGAAGGCCUUCGGGUUGUAAAGCACUUUCAGUGGGGAAGAAAGCCUUGGGGCUAAUACCCUCGAGGAAGGACAUCACCCACAGAAGAAGCACCGGCUAACUCCGUGCUAGCAGCCGCGGUAAUACGGAGGGUGCGAGCGUUAAUCGGAAUUACUGGGCGUAAAGCGCGCGUAGGCGGUCUGAUAAGCCGGUUGUGAAAGCCCCGGGCUCAACCUGGGAACGGCAUCCGGAACUGUCAGGCUAGAGUGCAGGAGAGGAAGGUAGAAUUCCCGGUGUAGCGGUGAAAUGCGUAGAGAUCGGGAGGAAUACCAGUGGCGAAGGCGGCCUUCUGGACUGACACUGACGCUGAGGUGCGAAAGCGUGGGUAGCAAACAGGAUUAGAUACCCGAGUAGUC